UCAUCAUUUCAGGUGAAGACCAUUGGAUUAUUCCUUUAGCCGUCUCCAAUAUAAUCUCUGUUAUUGUAAUCACAGUUCUGGUUGGAGUUUUAUAUAAAAAUCACAGAAAAGAUUCUUCAUCAAGCAACCAUCAAAUUCCCACCAAUCAGGCUGCUGAUGAUGAUGUCUUGAACUAUGCAGCUGUGAGUUUUGCUAAGAAACCUUCAUCCUCCAGAACAUUCAGAGAAAAGAGCCAUGAAGACGUUUAUGCACAAGUUAAAAUAAAAUAGAGAAUUUAAAUCAUCAGACACUGGAGAUUUACUGCUGUAAGGCACAUUUUAUUAGGUCAUGCCUGAUAAGGGGAAAAGGGGAGAGGAAGAUUACUGUUUUUCCCAAAAAUUCAAUAUUGUUACAUUUCCUGAAUAUAAUUA
Molecule: long non-coding RNA, 410 nt
Organism: Hemibagrus wyckioides
Lineage: Eukaryota; Metazoa; Chordata; Actinopteri; Siluriformes; Bagridae
Exons: 3
Source: RefSeq, a predicted model, not a curated record